This is a long non-coding RNA of Drosophila persimilis, 548 nucleotides long. RefSeq lists it as uncharacterized. The transcript has 4 exons. The record is from RefSeq and is a predicted model, not a curated record. Lineage: Eukaryota; Metazoa; Arthropoda; Insecta; Diptera; Drosophilidae.
GCGUCGGUCUAGUGCGGGUAUGCACAUAUUUAUCAAAGCUUCUGUUCCCCCCUCGGUACAUUGUUCCCCGCGCGCGACUAAUGCGAAAAUAUCAUCGUUGCGUGAGGGAAAACAACAACAACGCAACAAAAGAGACAUUCAAAAGUAAAAAUGGCACAUUAAAGCAUCCGAUAGGAGCGUGGCACGUAGACAUGCGAUCGGGAGGAUCCUACCAAUGAAUGGCAUCCGAAAAAGGAACUCAAUUUACGUAGGAUCAUCGCCUCAGAUGGAGUCCCGUUGAACCUGGCAAUCCCGUGCAAUCGCUCCAUUGUCCAGAAUGUGAGUCAAAACUACUUCGUGUGCGAAUGCACAGAGAGCUCUGCAGUCCCGGAUGUUUUUUCCGAUCACGAGAAGGCGUGGAACGCCUACGCUUGCAAGGAACAGCAAGGAUAAUGCACUUUUAGCAAAGGGAAAUGCUUUAUGUUAUUAUUAUGCAUACAUAUAUAAGAUUAUUGUAACACAUACUCACAUGCCAGAACGUACCUAUGAACUUACAUAAUUAAACAUAU